GUGGAUUAGAUACCCUGGUAGUCCACGCCCUAAACGAUGUCAACUAGGUGUUGGGAGGGUAAAACCUUUUAGUACCGUAGCUAACGCGUGAAGUUGACCGCCUGGGGAGUACGGCCGCAAGGUUAAAACUCAAAGGAAUUGACGGGGACCCGCACAAGCGGUGGAUGAUGUGGAUUAAUUCGAUGCAACGCGAAAAACCUUACCUACCCUUGACAUGUCCAGGAGCCCUUAGAGAUUUGGGUGUGCCCGAAAGGGAACUGGAACACAGGUGCUGCACGGCCGUCGCCAGCU
This 291-nucleotide ribosomal RNA is filed under the name uncultured bacterium. Its description in RNAcentral is "partial 16S ribosomal RNA". It matches the Rfam family "Bacterial small subunit ribosomal RNA", at positions 773 to 1060 of the family's 1533-position model. The record is from RNAcentral.